Pan troglodytes (chimpanzee) is the source of this 489-nucleotide long non-coding RNA. RefSeq lists it as uncharacterized. The transcript is spliced from 2 exons. NCBI's taxonomy places the organism in Eukaryota, Metazoa, Chordata, Mammalia, Primates, Hominidae. The record is from RefSeq and is a predicted model, not a curated record.
AGUCACUGGUCAGGUGGGGUCAAGCCAGGACAGUGCUGGAGAGAUCUGUCCCGAGCUCACUCGAGUGUCUUUCUCAUGGCACUGGGGCAAGCAUGAUCUGCACAGCCUGGCACAGAAACAGCACUUGCCCGGAAGAUACUUCCCCGUAUUUCAAGAUCAAAGAAAGUAGGACGCAGAAAAGAAAAGAAGCAAGGGAGAAAACCAACCAUCAGGGCUCCCAGAUAUCAAGGAGCUGAAACUCACCAGAUCACUGCAUUUGGACAAGGAGACACCAGACCCUUCACCCAUCAUGGCUGCCUCAGUGACCACCAGCUUCCUGUUGACCAACUCCUCUUCCUUAUACCUUCCUAAUUCCUGUUUACCGGCAUGUAGUUACAUUGCCUUCCCACUAUAUCAGCCCCCAGUUUUAGUUGGUCAGGGAGAUGGAUUUGAGACUGAGCUCCCAUCUCCAUGGCUGCAGUACCCGAUUAAAGCCUUCUUCCCUGGCAA